AUCUUAAUAGGGCAAAACUACUGAAAAGUAGUGACGCAAAGCUAUAGGGACUAAUUCCUAAGGGGAAGUCAGCCAGUUGCAGCA
Molecule: non-coding RNA, 84 nt
Filed under: Paenibacillus sp.
Lineage: Bacteria; Bacillati; Bacillota; Bacilli; Caryophanales; Paenibacillaceae
Also listed under: 1 other name
Description: c-di-GMP sequence
Rfam family: c-di-GMP-I riboswitch aptamer
About the family: GEMM was predicted in a large-scale screen for bacterial structured RNA regulatory elements. Genes associated with GEMM are involved in a diverse array of functions, including chemotaxis regulation, signal transduction, secretion and chitin.
Source: RNAcentral